CCAUUUUAUCAUUUAAUUGGUAGAAUUUUGGCCACAAAUUGAGGUGGUUCUUGCAGCUGAAAUUUUCUAUAAAUAGAUGUUGCCUCAAAGAGAAACAAGUUCCAUGAGAAGAAGAAAAAUAGAGUGUGGAGAUGAGAAAAAAGGGAGAGAUUAGAGAGUUUGUUAAACUCCAUUGUAUGAUUCUAUUCAAGUAAGAAAUAUAAUAGUUUUUUUUUUUUUUUUUUUUUUUGGUGAUAGGAGAAUCACAACAAAUUAUAGAUGCUGAAGAAGAAGGAAUAAGUGAUGAUGUGAAUGUAAGCAAGGAAGAACUGAUCAAGAAGUUUGAAGAAUUUAUAAGAAAAUGAAAGCUGAAAUUAGGAUUGGAGCCCAAUUGCAACAAAUAUAGCUGUGUAAUUACCACAGAUUACAAGUGUAUUGUACGCGCCUGUUUGUGUAUUUGGUGAAUCGAACAAAUCUUAUGUUUUCUUUGUAAUUAGAUUUCCACCUCUCUCUCUUUGGUGAC
This 502-nucleotide long non-coding RNA is filed under the name Olea europaea subsp. europaea. The record is from RNAcentral. Lineage: Eukaryota; Viridiplantae; Streptophyta; Magnoliopsida; Lamiales; Oleaceae.